GUAUGACAGGCAGGUGUUUCUCUAUGAGAUCAACGAGAAUAUCACCUGCAAGCUAUGUAAGGGAUACCUCAUCGAUGCCACCACCAUAACAGAAUGUUUACAUACCUUUUGUAAAAGUUGUCUUGUGAAAUAUCUGGAGGAGAAUAAUA
Lytechinus pictus (painted urchin) is the source of this 149-nucleotide long non-coding RNA. RefSeq lists it as uncharacterized. Lineage: Eukaryota; Metazoa; Echinodermata; Echinoidea; Temnopleuroida; Toxopneustidae. The record is from RefSeq and is a predicted model, not a curated record. The transcript is spliced from 2 exons.